This 253-nucleotide ribosomal RNA is filed under the name uncultured bacterium. Its description in RNAcentral is "partial 16S ribosomal RNA". It matches the Rfam family "Bacterial small subunit ribosomal RNA", at positions 524 to 776 of the family's 1533-position model. The record is from RNAcentral.
UACGGAGGGUGCGAGCGUUGUCCGGAAUCACUGGGCGUAAAGGGCGCGUAGGCGGCCUGAUAAGUAGGGGGUGAAAUCCUGCGGCUUAACCGCAGGGCUGCCUUCUAAACUGUCAGGCUAGAGCACAGUAGAGGCAGGUGGAAUUCCCGGUGUAGCGGUGGAAUGCGUAGAGAUCCGGAAGAACACCAGUGGCGAAGGCGGUCUGCUGGGCAGUUGCUGACACUGAUGCGCGACAGCGUGGGGAGCAAACAGG